Molecule: ribosomal RNA, 358 nt
Filed under: Mesobacillus boroniphilus
Lineage: Bacteria; Bacillati; Bacillota; Bacilli; Caryophanales; Bacillaceae
Description: bacterial SSU rRNA
Rfam family: Bacterial small subunit ribosomal RNA
Source: RNAcentral
UGCAGUCGAGCGGAUCUUCAUUAGCUUGCUUUUGAAGAUCAGCGGCGGACGGGUGAGUAACACGUGGGCAACCUGCCUGUAAGACUGGGAUAACUUCGGGAAACCGGAGCUAAUACCGGAUAAUCCUUUCCCUCUCAUGAGGGAAAGCUGAAAGACGGUUUCGGCUGUCACUUACAGAUGGGCCCGCGGCGCAUUAGCUAGUUGGUGAGGUAACGGCUCACCAAGGCAACGAUGCGUAGCCGACCUGAGAGGGUGAUCGGCCACACUGGGACUGAGACACGGCCCAGACUCCUACGGGAGGCAGCAGUAGGGAAUCUUCCGCAAUGGACGAAAGUCUGACGGAGCAACGCCGCGUGAG